AUCCCGCUGUAGUUCAUAAGCAUGAUGAUUGGGUGUUCACGGGCAGGUGGGGCAAGUGCCUUCCCAGAAGCUUGUUACAAACUCAGCACAUUACUGGCCUAACA
Callithrix jacchus (white-tufted-ear marmoset) is the source of this 104-nucleotide small nucleolar RNA. NCBI's taxonomy places the organism in Eukaryota, Metazoa, Chordata, Mammalia, Primates, Cebidae. The record is from Ensembl.